This 627-nucleotide long non-coding RNA is filed under the name Ananas comosus (pineapple). RNAcentral describes it as "long non-coding RNA (ACOM_LNC014619)". The record is from RNAcentral. Lineage: Eukaryota; Viridiplantae; Streptophyta; Magnoliopsida; Poales; Bromeliaceae.
UAUUAGUAGGAGUGAGCUGGUAAGCUUCUGAAAGCACGGAGUCUUCCGUACUUUCAAGUCGUUUUCAAUGUUGGGACUUUCGAAUUGACGAUUGGCUCCGUUAAAUUUGAUCUAGAGUAUUUGAAAUACCUAGAAAAUAAAUUUUGUGAUUUUUCGCUAUCAUUUGCCUAGUAAUCGAAGGGGCUCAAAAUCAAUAAUUUUAAUGGCCAUGGUGAGCCGUUUGCAAGUUUAACGGUGUAGAAAUAUCCAAAUCACGUGAAAUUUUGAUAGAAAAUUUUUUAUACUAUAUAAAACAAGAUCAAUAUUUUUGAUCUAAAAUUUUAAUGUCAUAUUAUCAUAUUUUGUAAGAUUUUUAUUUUCAGCCGUUGAUUUUGAGCCACUUCGAUCACUAGGCAAAUGAUAUCAAAAAAUCGUAAAAGUUAUUUUCCAAAUACUUAAAAUACUCUAAAUCAAGUCUAAUGGAGCUGAUCGUCGAUUCAAAAUUUAUUUUCUAAAUACUUAAAAUACUCUAGAUCAAGUCUAACGAAACUGAUCGUCGAUUCAAAAGUCCCAAUAUCGAAAAUAAUUUAGAAAUAUAGAGUGCUCCAUGCUUCCAGAAGCAUAUCAGACGCACUCUAUUAGUAGUAC